This is a long non-coding RNA of Felis catus (domestic cat), 602 nucleotides long. RefSeq lists it as uncharacterized. The record is from RefSeq and is a predicted model, not a curated record. The transcript has 3 exons. NCBI's taxonomy places the organism in Eukaryota, Metazoa, Chordata, Mammalia, Carnivora, Felidae.
GGGAGACUCUGGCAUUUUAGAACACACAGUCAUUCUUAAUCUCAUGUUGCUUCAGACACACCACUGCUCCAGGCCAGCAAGAAUGUUUUUCUGGUUUAGGGUGAAGCCACUCAUUUAUGGUCUGCAGCCAAACCUGCAAAAUCUCCAAGGUCUGCCAGUAUUAGCAAAGGGAACAAUUCUCUCCAAAAAUGCACCAUAAACAAGUUAGAUGCAGCUCAGGAAUGCGACAAUAUUUUAAUAUAAGAAAAUGGCUUAUAAAGAUACGUGGCCCUCCCAACCUGGGAACUUGUAAAAUAACGAUCACCGCUGCACAGAUGAUACAUGGCCUCAGAAUGGUGUUGUCCAGCCCUGGGAUUUCCUUCAAAAGUAUUGGCUUACCAGUGCGGGACUCAGAAAGACUACAGUGUGACUUUUUAGUACAAGAAGUUUCAUCUAGUCGGAAGGCCUAAGGUAGAAAUAAUCAGAAAUCACCAGGGAAGACUUUUGCUGUCAUCAUUUACACUGCACUGUUCCAGACUCUUAUCAACAUAUUGUCCCUUUCUGCUUUUACUCUUUUGGUAGAAAAUGCCUGCAAUCAUUUGAAAUAUAGGCAUUUCCCAGCA